AUGCUCGCUUUGGCAGCACAUAUACUAAAAUUGGAACAAUACAGAGAAGAUUAGCAUUACCCCUUCGCAAGGACGACAAGCAAAUUCUUGAAGCUUUCCAUAUUUUU
Small nuclear RNA from Cricetulus griseus (Chinese hamster), 107 nucleotides. The record is from Ensembl. NCBI's taxonomy places the organism in Eukaryota, Metazoa, Chordata, Mammalia, Rodentia, Cricetidae.